This 1079-nucleotide ribosomal RNA is filed under the name uncultured bacterium. RNAcentral's name for it is "bacterial SSU rRNA". It matches the Rfam family "Bacterial small subunit ribosomal RNA", at positions 73 to 1162 of the family's 1533-position model. The record is from RNAcentral.
CCCUGCUUUUGUGGGGUGCUCGAGUGGCGAACGGGUGGGUAACACGUGAGUAACCUGCCCUUGACUUUGGGAUAACUUCAGGAAACUGGGGCUAAUACCGGAUAGGAGCUCCUGCUGCAUGGUGGGGGUUGGAAAGUUUCGGCGGUUGGGGAUGGACUCGCGGCUUAUCAGCUUGUUGGUGGGGUAGUGGCUUACCAAGGCUUUGACGGGUAGCCGGCCUGAGAGGGUGACCGGCCACAUUGGGACUGAGAUACGGCCCAGACUCCUACGGGAGGCAGCAGUGGGGAAUAUUGCACAAUGGGCGGAAGCCUGAUGCAGCAACGCCGCGUGCGGGAUGACGGCCUUCGGGUUGUAAACCGCUUUCGCCUGUGACGAAGCGUGAGUGACGGUAAUGGGUAAAGAAGCACCGGCUAACUACGUGCCAGCAGCCGCGGUGAUACGUAGGGUGCGAGCGUUGUCCGGAUUUAUUGGGCGUAAAGGGCUCGUAGGUGGUUGAUCGCGUCGGAAGUGUAAUCUUGGGGCUUAACCCUGAGCGUGCUUUCGAUACGGGUUGACUUGAGGAAGGUAGGGGAGAAUGGAAUUCCUGGUGGAGCGGUGGAAUGCGCAGAUAUCAGGAGGAACACCAGUGGCGAAGGCGGUUCUCUGGGCCUUUCCUGACGCUGAGGAGCGAAAGCGUGGGGAGCGAACAGGCUUAGAUACCCUGGUAGUCCACGCUGUAAACGGUGGGUACUAGGUGUGGGGUCCAUUCCACGGGUUCCGUGCCGUAGCUAACGCUUUAAGUACCCCGCCUGGGGAGUACGGCCGCAAGGCUAAAACUCAAAGGAAUUGACGGGGCCCCGCACAAGCGGCGGAGCAUGCGGAUUAAUUCGAUGCAACGCGUAGAACCUUACCUGGGUUUGACAUGGAUCGGGAGCGCUCAGAGAUGGGUGUGCCUCUUUUGGGGUCGGUCCACAGGUGGUGCAUGGCUGUCGUCAGCUCGUGUCGUGAGAUGUUGGGUUAAGUCCCGCAACGAGCGCAACCCUUGUUCACUGUUGCCAGCACGUUAUGGUGGGGACUCAGUGGAGACCGCCGGGGUCAAC